GUUAGUGCAUAUGUUGAGUUGGAUGCUCAUCCUGAUCAUAGAAGUGAAUAUACAUCUAGACUGGAAUGAAGCUAAAAAU
Molecule: long non-coding RNA, 79 nt
Organism: Otolemur garnettii (small-eared galago)
Lineage: Eukaryota; Metazoa; Chordata; Mammalia; Primates; Galagidae
Exons: 3
Source: RefSeq, a predicted model, not a curated record